AGGGGGCCCACCAAGGCGACGAUCAGUAGCCGGCUGAGAGGGUGGACGGCCACAUUGGGACUGAGACACGGCCCAAACUCCUACGGAAGGCAGCAG
Molecule: ribosomal RNA, 96 nt
Filed under: uncultured bacterium
Lineage: Bacteria
Description: partial 16S ribosomal RNA
Rfam family: Bacterial small subunit ribosomal RNA
Source: RNAcentral